UAGCAGAAAAAUAUUAGACCUUUAAUUGAAUAUCACCUUCAAUGUUGUGUCAUUAAAAGAACUCCCUAAUAAAGUAUAAUUCAUACUGCAGCUUCUUACUUGCGUGGUUGUGGAAAAUGGCCAAGCUUUUCAAACUGCUUAGUAGUGGACUGGUGGUGGCGGAGAACCGUAAAUGUAUACCGGAGGGGGAGGUGAUUUUACGGGUGGGGGAGGUGAAGUGUAGUGGUAUGGAGGGGGAGGUGAUUUCACGGGUGGGGGAGGUGAAGUGUAAUGGUAUGGAGGGGGAGGUGAUUUUACGGGUGGGGGAGGUGAAGUGUAGUGGUAUGGAGGAGGAGGAGACUUCACAGGUGGAGGUGGAGAGUGGUAAUAGUAAGGAGGUGGGGGGGAUGGUGAUGGUGGUGGUGGAGACUUGUAAUAGUAAGGUGGGAGACUUGUAAUAGUAGGGUGGUGGGGGUGAUGGUGACGGGGGUGGUGGCGAUUUGUAGUAGUAAGGUGGAGGAGGUGACGGUGAUGGUGGUGGUGGAGACUUGUAGUAAUAGGGAGGUGGGGGUGAUGGUGAUGGGGGUGGUGGCGAUUUGUAGUAGUAUGGCGGAGGUGGUGAUGGUGAUGGUGGUGGUGGAGACUUGUAGUAAUAGGGCGGUGGAGGUGAUGGGGAUGGUGGUGGCGGGGAUUUGUAAUAGUAUGGUGGAGGAGGUGAUGGUGAUGGCGGGGGAGGGGACUUGUAGUAAUAUGGUGGUGGAGAUGGAGAUGGUGGUGGUGGAGACUUAUAAUAGUAUGGUGGAGGAGGAGACGGCGAUGGUGGUGGAGGAGACUUGUAAUAGUAGGAAGGUGGGGGUGAGGGUGAUGGUGGUGGUGGUGACUUAUAAUAGUAUGGUGGAGGAGGAGAUGGCGAUGGUGGUGGAGGAGACUUGUAAUAGUAAGGAGGUGGGGGUGAUGGUGAUGGGGGUGGGGGUGACUUGUAAUAAUAGGGAGGUGGUGGUGAUGGAGAUGGGGGUGGUGGUGACUUGUAAUAGUAUGGUGGAGGUGGAGAUGGGGAUGGUGGUGGAGGAGACUUGUAAUAGUAAGGUGGAGGUGGAGAAGGUGAUGGUGGUGGAGGAGACUUGUAAUAGUAAGGUGGUGGCGACUUGUAUACAUAUUUUGGUGAUGGAGGAGGCGGUGACUUGUAUAGGUACUUGGGUGAUGGAGGAGGCGGUGACUUAUACACGUAUUGCGGUGAUGGAGGAGGCGGUGACUUAUACAUGUACUUUGGUGGUGGAGGUGGUGGUGACUUGUAUAUAUAUUUUGGUGAUGGAGGUGGCGGUGACUUGUAUACGUACUUGGGUGAUGGAGGAGGCGGUGACUUGUACACGUAUUGAGGUGAUGGAGGAGGCGGUGACUUGUACAUGUACUUUGGUGAUGGAGGAGGUGGUGACUUGUAUAUAUAUUUUGGUGAUGGAGGAGGUGGAGAUUUGUAAUAAUAAGGAGCAGGAGUUGGCUUAGGCUUCAUGCAUUCUUCAUAAGGAGUUUUAGAGGCAUAAGCAAAUGGUUUUGCAUAGAGCACAACUUCAUAUUUAUUCUUUGACUUCACACUGAGGCUUGCACCUUUAAUGCCCCAGUGUAGAUUUGUGGGAAUGUUACAUUUUGAACCCUUUGGUGCUUUGUGGAGUUUAGCCUUGCAUGCAUCUGCUCCAUAUUUGGCAUACUCAAAUCCUUCGACUGUGAUAGCAAACUUGCCAUUGAUUUUAGUGGUACCAUAGCUCUUGAUUUUCUUGUCACCAACUUUGCAUGUGACCUCAACAACAGCACCUAAUCCGAGUGUGGAAAAUGAUAUUUCAAUUACUACUUAAUAAUUGAGUUGUUAACAGAUCAUAUAAACAUAAUUUAAUAUCCUACUAGCUACAAUAACUAACUUUGUCCUAUUCUUAAUAUAAAAAUAACUGGUCCAUCACAUGAUCAAAAGCUCAUUUUUCCACUUUUUCCUCUUUAUCUAAUAAGGAAUAUAAAAGUCAAGAAUCUACCCAUCUGGCUUCCUUUACUGCUUUUUGUUGAAUGAUUACUAGAUUAAAAUGGGCAGUUUGUGAGCCAACGCAGACUAAGUUUGGGCACCAAGAGAGGAAGCCACUUUUUCACCAUUUUGGUGAUUAUCCAACAAAUUUAUUUCAUUAUUAUAUAUUUUAAUAGUUUGAUAAUAAUUAGUUAAUCAUAAAAAAAGAAAAAGCUAAAGAAAAUCUUAAUACCACAAAUAAUUACUUAAUCAUGAUCGACAGUGAAGAUUGAUUUUUGUAUGGGAAGCAUAAGCAAUAUAAUUAUUUUCUUACUUUUACUUUUUUGAUGUUUUUUCAUUAUUCAGUUGUAACAAAAGCUUCUUCGCUGCUUCUUCUUCGUUUUGUAAAACUUUUUUGACAAAAUAUUUUGUACAUUUAUCAACUUUAUAAAUAAUUCAAGAAUUAGCCUUACAAUUAACCCUGCUUACAGGAUUUAUCACUUUCAUUUUAGAACCAAGUAUUAAUUGUCCUAAGUCCCUAAAGGCAUUUCAUUAUUAGUGAAGUUGGUGCCUUCAAAUUCAAGCAUGUCUCAAGGUAUUUGACACAUCAAUUUGGAGGAAAGCUAAGAGCGAAGAGAAUAAUAGAUUCUCAAGUAAACAAACAUCUUACUGAAUAUUGUUAUGAAGAUAUAUUAAAAAGAAAAGUAUAAAUAAGAGUGAAUGUUGCGGAGAUGAGUACUAUACCUUUGAGGUGCUUCUUGUUGUGGGAGUUCUUUGGGUAUUUCCAGUCAAAGCAUCUGUAGCAGUAGACUUUUCCAACAACCUUAACGACCAAGGAAUGAUGAGGAGGAUAAUAAUGAGUUGGGGGUGGUGGUGAAGUGUAAUAGUAUGGUGGAGGAGGUAACUUUACUGGCGGUGGAGGGGAGGAAUAGUAGUAUGGUGGAGGAGGUGACUUAACUGGUGGUGGAGGAGAGGAGUAGUAGUAUGGUGGAGGAGGUGACUUGACUGGUGGUGGAGGGGAAGAGUAGUAGUAAGGUGGAGGAGGUGACUUCACUGGUGGUGGAGGGGAAGAAUAGUAGUACGGUGGUGGAGGUGAUUUAACUGGUGGCGGAGGAGAAUAGUAGUAGUACGGAGGAGGAGGUGACUUAACUGGUGGCGAAGGAGAGGAGUAGUAGUAUGGUGGAGGAGGUGACUUAACAGGUGGUGGUGGGGACUUGUAGUAAUAAGGUGGUGGGGGAGAGGGUGAAGGGGGUGGUGGUGAUUUAUAAUAGUAUGGUGGAGGAGGUGACUUGACUGGUGGUGGAGGGGAGGAGUAGUAGUAUGGUGGAGGAGGUGACUUAACUGGUGGUGGAGGGGAAGAAUAGUAGUACGGUGGAGGAGGUGACUUGACUGGUGGUGGAGGGGAAGAGUAGUAGUAAGGUGGAGGAGGUGACUUCACUGGUGGUGGAGGGGAAGAAUAGUAGUACGGUGGUGGAGGUGAUUUAACUGGUGGCGGAGGAGAAUAGUAGUAGUACGGAGGAGGAGGUGACUUAACUGGUGGCGAAGGAGAGGAGUAGUAGUAUGGUGGAGGAGGUGACUUAACAGGUGGUGGUGGGGACUUGUAGUAAUAAGGUGGUGGGGGAGAAGGUGAAGGGGGUGGUGGUGAUUUAUAAUAGUAUGGUGGAGGUGGUGAUGGAGAAGGUGGUGGGGGAGACUUGUAAUAGUAUGGUGGAGGUGGUGAUGGGGAAGGUGGUGGGGGAGACUUGUAAUAAUAAGGCGGAGGUGGUGAAGGUGAAGGUGGUGGCGGGGAUUUGUAGUAAUAUGGUGGUGGUGGAGAUGGUGAUGGAGGGGGUGGUGACUUGUAUACAUAUGGCGGAGGAGGAGACGGUGAUGGAGGGGGUGGCGACUUGUACACAUACGGAGGUGGAGGAGAUGGUGAAGGAGGUGGUGGUGAUUUAUACACAUAAGGUGGGGGUGGAGAUGGUGAUGGAGGUGGUGGAGACUUGUACUCAUAAGGCGGUGGCGGAGAAGGAGAAGGAGGGGGUGGUGACUUGUACUCGUAAGUUGGUGGUGGGGGAGAAGCAUAUACGUAAGGGUCAGCAGAAACAAUAUUAGCAACAGCCAAAAUGGCCAGUGCCACUAAGAUUUGUGGCACAUGACGACCCUGGCGGGGAUCGCCACCGUUGAGCCUCAUUGCUAGUCGGGAAAAUGCGCCACCAACUCCUCUAAUGUGGCUAUGCAAAUCUGCACACACUUUUAAGUGUGAGAAAAGAGGACGAGAUCGAAGAAGCUUUAGUUGAGAGGUAAUGCCUUAAGAGGAAGCAAAGACCUAAGUAUUUAUAGUAACACUUAGUGAGAGGCAGUCGUUGGUAUGGAGCUGUCA
This 4325-nucleotide long non-coding RNA is filed under the name Nicotiana benthamiana. Its description in RNAcentral is "long non-coding RNA (NBEN_LNC006289)". Lineage: Eukaryota; Viridiplantae; Streptophyta; Magnoliopsida; Solanales; Solanaceae. The record is from RNAcentral.